UUUGUUGUCAACAUAAAGUGAUUAGCUUUGCUGUCUAAAGUGCUCCAUCAAAGUAUCACUAACUUCACCUUUCUAUCAGUUAUCAAACUACAUUUUAAGUUAUGACUUGCACAAUCACAC
Molecule: long non-coding RNA, 120 nt
Organism: Melanotaenia boesemani (Boeseman's rainbowfish)
Lineage: Eukaryota; Metazoa; Chordata; Actinopteri; Atheriniformes; Melanotaeniidae
Exons: 3
Source: RefSeq, a predicted model, not a curated record